GGAAACCGGGAACAGGGAUAAUGUUUGAAAUGUAAAUUUAAAAAAAUGUCCAAUAAACGAAAAUUUAAAAAAAAGACUAAUAUAGGCAUGGUAGCUAACAAUUCAUAAGCAUUUGCAGGAGAGCUAUAUGUCAAUGAGUACUAAGUCCAAUUUUCUGAGGAAACACCAGACUGAUUUCCAGAGUGGUUGUACCAGCUUGCAAUCCCACAAAAAAUGGAGGUGUGUUCCUCUUUCUCCAAAUUUUUGCCAGCAUCUGAGUUUGCUGAGUUUAUUAUCUUAGCAAUUCUGACUGGUGUGAGGUAGAUUCUCAGGGUUCUUUUGAUUUCCAUUUCCCGGAUGACUAAGAAUGUUGAACAUUCUUUAGGUGCUUCUUGGCCAUUCAAUAUUCUUCAGUUAAGAAUACUUUGUUUACUUUAUCCAAUUUUUAUUAGGGUUAUUUGACUCUCUGGAGGCUAACUUCUUGAGUUCUUUGUAUAAAUUGGAUAUUAGCCCUCUAUUGAAUGUAGGAUUGGUAAAGAUCUUUCCCAAUCUGUUGGUUGACAUUUUGUCUUAGUGACAGUGUCUUUUGCCUUAUAAAAGCUUUGCAAUUUUAUGAGGUCCCAUUUGUUGAUUCUUGGUCUUAGAGCAUAAGACAUUGGUGUUUUCUUCAGGAAACUUUUUCCUGUGCCCAUGUGUUCAAGGAUCUUCCCCACUAUCUCUUCUAAUAUUUUCUGUGUAUCUGGUUUUAUGUGGAGGUCCUUGAUCCACUUGGGCUUGAGCUUUGUACAGAGAGACAAGAAUGGUUUGAUUUGCAUUCUUCUAGUAUUAUUUCAUAUUUGACUUUGUUUUACAUAUCUAAUUCUUCUUAAGCUUUCCAUAAACAUGGUCUCACAUAUAAUUUAUAUUUUAUGUGUCAAAGUUACAGAUAUAACAUAUGAUGCAUAGAAGAUAAUGCAACUGGUUGGUUCUUACUAACAUGUAGAAGACACAUUGUGACAGAGAAGAUACAGUAGGCCAAGAUCAGCUGACAAUACAAAACAAAACAUCAACAACAGUAACCACAAAUACUUGUUUGAGUCCAUGUCUAAAAUACAAGGAAAAGAAAAGGAAAGAAAAGCAGAGCAUUUUGGACAUGGAAUGAAAUAGAUUCCUGGUGCUUUCUGAACAGCCAAUGCAGCCUACUAUGCAAAUUCCAGGCCAGUAGGAGAGCUUGACUCAAAAUAACAAAAUAAAAAAUACAUAUAAGCUGAGUGUGGUGACGCAAGCCUUUAAUUCCAGCACUUGGGAGGCAGAGGCAGACAAAUUUCUGAGUCCGAGGUCAGCCUGGUCUACAGAGUAAGUUCCAGGACAGCCAGGGCUACACAGAGAAACCCUGCCUCAAACAAACAAACAAACAAACAAACAGACAAAAUAAAAAACAAAAAAGGAAACAAAGAAACAAGUAAAUAAAUAGUGAAUGAUGCCUAAGUGGUGAUACCUAAGCUUGAUUUCUGGCCCUCACAUGUAGUACACAUACACACACACACACACUCACAUUCACAGAGAUACCAAAAAAAUCCUACACAUAUUCUAAUGCCCACACAUUUUAACAUGCACAAGUAUAUUUAUUCAUAUGCCCAGAAUUAUAUACACAUAAAAAUAAAAUUCAUAAUAUGUGUUGAAAUAAAAAUGUCCAUUGAACUAGCAUCUCAAAAAAUCUGUUUUGUCUACCAGUCAAUAUUAUCCAUUUUCCACCUCACCUUUUCAUAUAAAAGACUUCCACUGCUACAUAUGGACCUUUCCUUUUGUUCAAGGUUACCUGGAGAAAUGCAUGUGAUGGUUUUCCUAAACUGAUUGCAAUGUGACACUUACCUCAGUCAACACACAUUCUCUCCCACAGGUUAGCUUUAGUUUCUCUGUCCUAGCCUAAUUACCAUGAACUUCCUAUAAACUCCCAAAUCCUGGGGCUAGAUUGUUCAGCCUUUAACCUCACAAGCUAUUCUUGCAGAGGAACAGGAUUCAAUUCCCAGAAUCUACAUAAAGUCUUACAUCUAUCAUAACUCCAGUAUCUGAGUAUCUUUUGCUCUCUUCUGUUCUCUUCAGAUAUUGUAUGAAUAUGGUACACAUGCACAAGCAUACAAAACAUCUACAGACAUAAAUAACGAAUAAAUCACUCCCAAAGCUUGAAUAAUAAAUACAUAGCUACAUCUUUAAUCCCCUAUGUAUGUUUUAUCUUAUUAUUAUUUAUUUUUCUUUUCAUUAAAGUUCAUGCAAAUCUAAUAAAAUGACAAGCAUUCCUGAUUUUUGAAGGCAACAGCUAAUGUUGUCCUUUGAUGCCCACAUUCAUAAGCAUUCAGCAACACUAUAUAUAUGUAACUAUAAACUUACAUAUGUGCACUGAAAAGACACAUAUUCACAUGAAAUGACACAUAAAAACACCAAAUAUUUCAUGACAGUUUAAUAUUUGAAACUAAAAGUGCAUCAAAACAGUGUGGUUAACAUGUUUUGUUCUACUCUGUAGGUGAAGAAGUAAGUAAGUUUAGGGAGCCUAAAGAGAGUGCUCAAAUCCACAUAGAUGUUAUGUGGUUGGCUUGAAAUUUAAGAUUGAUGAUGCAUCAUUAACCAAUAAAAUGUACUGGACCCCAGCUUGGCUAUUACCUCUCAACAGAUUCCAAAUGUCAUUCCUGGUUGAUUAGCGAAAAUUGUCUUUACUUCAACAAAAUUGUUUUUCUUUUCUUUUCUGUUUUUUUAUUAGAUAUUUUCUUUAUUUACAUUUCAAAUUAUUAUUUAUCUUUAUUUAAAUUUCAAAUGUUAUCCCCUUUCCUAGUUUCCUCUCUGAAAACCCCCUAUCCUCUUGCCCCUCACCCUACUCUCCAACCCUCCCACUCCUGCUUCCUGGCCCUGGCAUUCCCCUAUACUGGGGCAUAGGACCUUCCAAAGACCAAGGGCCUUUCUUCUCGUUGAUGACCGACUAGGCCGUCCUCUGCUACAUAUGCAGCUAGAGUCAUGAAUCCCACAAUGUGUUUUCUUUGUUUGGUGGUUUAGUCCCAGGGAGCUCUGGGGGUACUGGUUAGUUCAUAUUGCUGUUCCUCCUAUAGGGCUGUAAACCCCUUCAGCUCCUUGGAUACUUUCUUUAGCUCCUUCUUCUGGGACCCUGAGCUCUGUUCAAUGGAUGACUGUAAGCAUCCACUUCUGUAUCUGCCAAGCACUGACAGAGCCUCUCAGGAGACAGCUAUAUCAGGCUUCUACAAAAAUUGUUGAGUGACAGUUAUAAAGUAGGACUUACUUUUAGGGAAAGCAACAUAUAAAUGCUCUGGGUAAGUCAUGGCUAUUUUACUACUAGAAGGAUUAGAGUCUCACCAUCUCCUGGCCUUUUAAAAAUGUAUAGGCCUUUAAAUAUUUUUCCAUUAAGAAAGGCUAUUCAGCAGUGCUAGAGCAUAGAGUAACAUAAUAUUUGUAAUCAUCUUAUAUCCCAAUGCUAUUUGAUAAAGCACGGUACGUUAACAAAUAUUAUCAAUAGUCACCUUUCUUUGCAGUCUUUACCAAAACUGGAACAAUCCUUGUGACAUGCAUUAUAUGUUUGUGAAUUACAUUAGCUAUUUGUCUUCCUGACAAAAAGGACUGGAGCAAUUGCCCUGUAAAGAGCACUUGUUGCUCUUUCAGAUAACUCAGGAGGUGGUGCAUGUCAUUGGUACUCUAUUUCCAGGGGCUAUGGUACCCUCUUCUGAUCCCCAAAGGCACCAGCCACAAACAUGGUGUACAUAAAUACAUUCAGGCAAAAUACUCAUAGACAUAAGAAAG
This 3759-nucleotide long non-coding RNA is filed under the name Mus musculus (house mouse). RNAcentral describes it as "long non-coding RNA chr1:115705535-115709294". The record is from RNAcentral. Lineage: Eukaryota; Metazoa; Chordata; Mammalia; Rodentia; Muridae.